This 539-nucleotide ribosomal RNA is filed under the name uncultured bacterium. RNAcentral describes it as "bacterial SSU rRNA". It matches the Rfam family "Bacterial small subunit ribosomal RNA", at positions 777 to 1315 of the family's 1533-position model. The record is from RNAcentral.
AAUAGAUACCCUGGUAGUCCACCCCGUAAACGUUGGGAACUAGUUGUGGGGUCCAUUCCACGGAUUCCGUGACGCAGCUAACGCAUUAAGUUCCCCGCCUGGGGAGUACGGCCGCAAGGCUAAAACUCAAAGGAAUUGACGGGGACCCGCACAAGCGGCGGAGCAUGCGGAUUAAUUCGAUGCAACGCGAAGAACCUUACCAAGGCUUGACAUAUACGAGAACGCUGCAGAAAUGUAGAACUCUUUGGACACUCGUAAACAGGUGGUGCAUGGUUGUCGUCAGCUCGUGUCGUGAGAUGUUGGGUUAAGUCCCGCAACGAGCGCAACCCUCGUCCUAUGUUGCCAGCACGUAAUGGUGGGAACUCAUGGGAUACUGCCGGGGUCAACUCGGAGGAAGGUGGGGAUGACGUCAAAUCAUCAUGCCCCUUAUGUCUUGGGCUUCACGCAUGCUACAAUGGCCGGUACAAAGGGCUGCAAUACCGUAAGGUGGAGCGAAUCCCAAAAAGCCGGUCCAGUUCGGAUUGAGGUCUGCAACUCGA